AGCGUAGGCGGAUUUUUAAGUGGGAUGUGAAAUACCCGGGCUUAACCUGGGUGCUGCAUUCCAAACUGGAAGUCUAGAGUGCAGGAGAGGAAAGUGGAAUUCCUAGUGUAGCGGUGAAAUGCGUAGAGAUUAGGAAGAACACCAGUGGCGAAGGCGACUUUCUGGACCGAGAUUGACGCUAAAAAAGCGAAAGCCAGGGGAGCAAACG
Molecule: ribosomal RNA, 208 nt
Filed under: uncultured bacterium
Lineage: Bacteria
Description: partial 16S ribosomal RNA
Rfam family: Bacterial small subunit ribosomal RNA
Source: RNAcentral